AGAGUUUGAUCAUGGCUCAGAGCGAACGCUGGCGGCAGGCCUAACACAUGCAAGUCGAACGGAUCCUUCGGGAUUAGUGGCGGACGGGUGAGUAACACGUGGGAACGUGCCUUUUGGUUCGGAACAACUCAGGGAAACUUGAGCUAAUACCGAAUGUGCCCUUCGGGGGAAAGAUUUAUCGCCAUUAGAGCGGCCCGCGUCUGAUUAGCUUGUUGGUGAGGUAAAGGCUCACCAAGGCUACGAUCAGUAGCUGGUCUGAGAGGAUGAUCAGCCACAUUGGGACUGAGACACGGCCCAAACCCCUACGGGAGGCAGCAGUGGGGAAUCUUGCGCAAUGGGGCGAAAGCCUGACGCAGCCAUGCCGCGUGAAUGAUGAAGGUCUUAGGAUUGUAAAAUUCUUUCACCGGGGACGAUAAUGACGGUACCCGGAGAAGAAGCCCCGGCUAACUUCGUG
Molecule: ribosomal RNA, 454 nt
Filed under: uncultured bacterium
Lineage: Bacteria
Description: bacterial SSU rRNA
Rfam family: Bacterial small subunit ribosomal RNA
Source: RNAcentral